Molecule: ribosomal RNA, 117 nt
Filed under: Candidatus Gottesmanbacteria bacterium RIFCSPLOWO2_01_FULL_43_11b
Lineage: Bacteria; Candidatus Gottesmaniibacteriota
Source: RNAcentral
UUCGGUCUCUUGAGCGACGUGGAACCACCCUAUUCCAUUCCGAACUGGGAAGUGAAACACGUCAGCGCCAACAAUACCUGUUCCGCAAGGAUCCGGGAAGAUAGGUCGAGGCCGGGG